Molecule: non-coding RNA, 120 nt
Filed under: bovine gut metagenome
Description: FMN riboswitch (RFN element)
Rfam family: FMN riboswitch aptamer (RFN element)
About the family: The RFN element is a highly conserved domain that is found frequently in the 5'-untranslated regions of prokaryotic mRNAs that encode for flavin mononucleotide (FMN) biosynthesis and transport proteins. This element is a metabolite-dependent riboswitch that directly binds FMN in the absence of proteins.
Source: RNAcentral
UGUCUUCGAGGCGGGGCGUAAUUCCCCACCGGCGGUGUGUCUUUCCCGACGAGCCCGCAAGCUGAUGCAGAAUUGGUGUGAUUCCAAUGCCGACGGUUACAGUCCGGAUGAAAGAAGAUG